GGCUGACAGGCCUGUACUUCCUAAGAUCCUCCUCAUGGCCCUUCUUGUAGAUGGGAGUCACAUCGGCAAGCCUUCAGUCUUUUGGGAUCUCUCCAGAUAACCAGCAGAGCUAGUAGAUGGCAGAGAGUGGCUUGGCAAUCAUCCCCGCCAGCUCCCUCAGCACCCUAGGAUGGAGCCCGUCCGGUCCCUCGGACUUGUGACAGUCCAGAUGGAGGUGGAGCUCUCUAACUGUCUCCACCUGAAUCAUCAGGGGUGUAUUCUGCAUACCAUCCCAGACUUCCAGAACAGGGCAUAAAGUACCCUGAGGAUAACUGAGCCAUGGAGCAAUGCUGGGUGUGCUCUGGGAGAGCAGAUAGAAGAGAGGACAAAACUGCUUCACGACAGCAUCUGGGAGAGCAGCAGCCCUGCAGGCGCCCAGCGCUGUAAAGAGAAGAGUAUGGAACUGGUGCUCUCAGAAUGGUCUAAGUGUACACAGAAGGUCAUACCAUAAAAUCCUGCCAAGGGGAAGAAAAUUCUUCUCCUAACUAUUUUUGGAUUUAUUGACAACAUCUAACCAAACCCACUGGGAGAGUCUUCAGAGAGUAUCCACAUCCUUGCCAUCUGUCUUCAGCAGCAUUGUGCCUCUGGGAAGCAAAGACUGGAUCUGCUUACUCUGUCCCAAACAACAACAGUAUCAGCUGAGAGGAUAAAGACAAGUUGCACACACUAAGAAGAUGUUAGCAUUUUAAUCUCACAGAUUAGUUUAGGCUCUUAAGAUCAUUUAAAAUGCAAUUGCACAGAGUACUGGCAGAACCGCUGAGGAGCAAUUGGUACAUCUGUACUUUUUUCUGUCUUAGGUUUAAGUGCCUAGCAUUGAAAUUGGUAGCUUGAAUACUUUUGAAUUCAGAAGCUAAGACAAUGUCACAGAUAAACUUUCUAUGCAAUAAAUGUCAGCUUCAUCAGUCUUCUUAGAAGUGAUAUGAUUAACUUCUGACAGCAUUUUGAGAACAUGUGCAGUUCUUUAUUUGGAUGUACGGUUGAAGCAGUGAUAAAUUCCUUUUCAAAAGCAAAUGAAGAACUAUAGGUAUGGUAGAUGCCAACUUCCUGCCUGGCAAUUGGCUUCUGAACAUUUGCGUUCUUGCCUUCCUGUGUGUUUCUUGAUUACUUCACUGAUCAGAUGCAUUUGCAGCUUCCACUUCUGCUGUCUGACCUGCACCUGUUGUAUGCAAAUACCACUGAAAUGUCUUCAGAGCAGAAAGAACAAAAAGCUGAAU
Gallus gallus (chicken) is the source of this 1253-nucleotide long non-coding RNA. NCBI's taxonomy places the organism in Eukaryota, Metazoa, Chordata, Aves, Galliformes, Phasianidae. The record is from Ensembl.